AGUGAACGCUGGCGGUAGGCCUAACACAUGCAAGUCGAACGGCAGCACAGUAAGAGCUUGCUCUUACGGGUGGCGAGUGGCGGACGGGUGAGGAAUACAUCGGAAUCUACUUUUUCGUGGGGGAUAACGUAGGGAAACUUACGCUAAUACCGCAUACGACCUACGGGUGAAAGCAGGGGAUCUUCGGACCUUGCGCGAUUGAAUGAGCCGAUGUCGGAUUAGCUAGUUGGCGGGGGAAAGGGCCACCAAGGCGACGAUCCGUAGCUGGUCUGAGAGGAUGAUCAGCCACACUGGAACUGAGACACGGUCCAGGCUCCUACGGGAGGCAGCAGUGGGGAAUAUUGGACAAUGGGCGCAAGCCUGAUCCAGCCAUACCGCGUGGGUGAAGAAGGCCUUCGGGUUGUAAAGCCCUUUUGUUGGGAAAGAAAAGCAGCAGAUUAAUACCCCGCUGUUCUGACGGUACCCAAAGAAUAAGCACCGGCUAACUUCGUG
Molecule: ribosomal RNA, 492 nt
Filed under: uncultured bacterium
Lineage: Bacteria
Description: partial 16S ribosomal RNA
Rfam family: Bacterial small subunit ribosomal RNA
Source: RNAcentral